GGCAAUUUCAACUUCAACUGACUUGUGAAGUUGAUUACAGGAUACAGCUUUAGCUGUUGGUUUUCUUUAAGACCAUUUGCACAGAAACUGCGAUCUUGAGCAAUCAAAGUAAUGACAGCUGAUUUUUUAUGCGAUGCUAGUGCAGUGAUAUACGUUGGGGAGUCGGGACCCAUUCCAAUGCAGGGAUCAAGAUGCUUUGAAGAAGAAUAUGUGAAUUGUGAAAACGCGAUAGUCUCUAUCACGGUGGACGGGGAUUCUCUAAAGAAUGAAAACGGUCUUCUCUCAAAAAAAGAAUAGUUCUUGAUUCGCUAAAAGAUAUGGAAAGAUACGCGACAACUCCUUCAAUGGAUGGAUCAAAUGAGAUAGAAGAAUUAAGGAUUAGAUUGAAAGCUGCGCACGAACUAAAUCAAUUGCAAGAAAAGAAUUUUUCGACGUUAAUCAAGGACUUAGAACAUAGGCUUGGCCAAGCGAUAACCAGUCGCGACGAACUAUUAAAAUUAAGACAGCAAGAAUCACUGAGACAACAACAGUUGAUUUAUCAUUUGCAAACAGCGUUACAGCAGUCAAAGCAGACACUGGAGCAACGUAACCAUGAAAUAUCUCAGUGCAAAGGUAAGCACUUUAAAACGCAGAUGGUGUUGAUUAACAUUCAUAAACUGCUGAGGAACGAAGAAAUAGAACCUGGAAUAGAAACUGCGUCGGGUCAAACUUCAUUAGUUGACAAUGAAUUGCUGGAAAAGCAUCUUUGCAAAGAAAUCUUGGAACGGUUUAGACAGGACGAAAACAAUUGCAGACUUGAAAGAUGAUCGCUUGAAGUUCGAAGAAAAUGAAGGACUUGCAGCAUGCCAGCGAGUUGGAUAAGACAACUCUUGUUCACGAAUACGAGAACAAAUGUCAGAAAAUGGAGUCGGACCAUGCAAGGUCCCUUGACAUAGCUGAAAGAACCUUGAUGGAACGUAAUCGCAACGCGAAAUUAUUAUUAGAAAUAGAAGAAGUCAGGAAAGAACACGAGAAAUGUAUUAAUGAAAAGGAACUGACGAUUGCUUCUAUGGAAGAGUCUAUUGCUUCGUUGCGUACUGAAUUGGAGCACACGAUGAAACAGGAUGACUUUCAAAGCGACAAUUUGACAUCUAAUGAAGAAUCACAAGGCGACUUGACGUCGAUGAGUGGAAAACGAAGAGUUGAGGAGAAAACUACGAGAAAAACACUAAAAUACAGCGGAGUAUAGAGGCGCGUUCAAUCUUUGGGGUGAAAUAAAAGAUAGAACAUUAAAUUUGGAAAAUGUAUGGAAAAGUAAUGAACAACAAGAGCAAGAAUAUAUUCGUGAAAUAUCUCCAGUUGAAAGAUGAUGCGAAGAAAGUAGAUGAAAAUAUGCAAGUCUUGAUUAAACAACAUCAAGAAAACUUGGAGGAACACAAAAAGAGAUGCUCGCUUUACAAGACGAGCUGAGUCGUGAACAGAAAUUGUAAAAUAUGUCGAAAAGAGCGUAAAAUUGAUGGAAAAAUUGGAAACUGUCGAAACAGAGAAAUCUGUCUUUGAGGCGAUGCAAAUAUAUCUCGUGAAUGCGACAUUUUAAAAAGAAGAAAUCAUGAAUGCGAAAACCAGAGACAUGAUUUGUCGAGUAUUGUACGCGGAAACGUGGACGAUUUGAAUCGUGCUCGCAGGGUUAUUGAAGACCUGCAAGGCAAGCUGGUCGAACGAGAAAGAAAUUUACGAGUGUUCAACGAGCAUGAAGUGUGAACAUGACUGGAGUUUUGCAUCAAAAGAACUCACCGGAGCGUCGUUGUUGCAAGAGCGAAAGCAAAUCGUCGCAUUUCUUGAAGAAAAAGUGCGUGAAAACGAGCAAUUAAAGAAAAAUUGCGAUUCGUUGACGGAAAAACUCGAGUCUAAUGUUCACGUUUUGACUAAAAUGGAAGAGACCUGUCUUGCAUUAAAAAACUGGAAGUCCGCUCGAAGGAAUUGGAUGUGAUCAUGGAGGAUCGAAAUAAAGCCGUUAAAACUUGGAAAACAAAGCAAUGGAA
Molecule: long non-coding RNA, 2021 nt
Organism: Xenia sp. Carnegie-2017
Lineage: Eukaryota; Metazoa; Cnidaria; Anthozoa; Malacalcyonacea; Xeniidae
Exons: 9
Source: RefSeq, a predicted model, not a curated record